CCUACGGGAGGCAGCAGUGGGGGAUAUUGCACAAUGGGGGAAACCCUGAUGCAGCGACGCCGCGUGGGUGAAGAAGGGCCUCGGCGCGUAAAGCUCUGUCAGCAGGGAAGAAAAUGACGGUACCUGAAGACGAAGCCCCGGCUAACUACGUGCCAGCAGCCGCGGUAAUACGUAGGGGGCCAGCGGUACCCGGAUUUACUGGGUGUAACGGUGGAGCAGACGGCGAUGCAAGACAGGAGUGAAAGCUCGGGGCCCAACCCCGGGACUGCUCUUGGAACUGCGUGGCUAGAGUGCAGGAGGGGCAGGCGGAAUUCCUGGUGUAGCGGUGAAAUGCGUAGAUAUCAGGAGGAACACCGGUGGCGAAGGCGGCCUGCUGGACUGCAACUGACGUUGAGGCCCGAAAGCGUGGGGAGCAAACAGGAUUAGAUACCCCAGUAGUC
RNAcentral lists this ribosomal RNA (440 nucleotides) under uncultured bacterium. Its description in RNAcentral is "partial 16S ribosomal RNA". It matches the Rfam family "Bacterial small subunit ribosomal RNA", at positions 338 to 795 of the family's 1533-position model. The record is from RNAcentral.